CGGACGGGUGAGUAACACGUGGAUAACCUACCUAUAAGACUGGGAUAACUUCGGGAAACCGGAGCUAAUACCGGAUAAUAUUUUGAACCGCAUGGUUCAAAAGUAAAAGACGGUCUUGCUGUCACUUAUAGAUGGAUCCGCGCUGCAUUAGCUAGUUGGUAAGGUAACGGCUUACCAAGGCAACGAUGCAUAGCCGACCUGAGAGGGUGAUCGGCCACACUGGGACUGAGACACGGUCCAG
RNAcentral lists this ribosomal RNA (241 nucleotides) under uncultured Staphylococcus sp. Its description in RNAcentral is "partial 16S ribosomal RNA". It matches the Rfam family "Bacterial small subunit ribosomal RNA", at positions 99 to 334 of the family's 1533-position model. Lineage: Bacteria; Bacillati; Bacillota; Bacilli; Caryophanales; Staphylococcaceae. The record is from RNAcentral.